UUCACAAUGUUGAAGAGAAGAGUACGUUGUUGGGCUGCACAAAGCGACCGCUGAUAGUGAAAGAGCGGGCAGACAAUGACCGAAAGUGCGCUCGGAGUUGUGGCAUUUAAUUAAAGAUGCAUUCGAAAUGAGGCGUUUUGUUUUUGACAAAACGCAAAAAAGGGUGGAACCACGGUAAUUCGUCCCUGAU
Molecule: unclassified non-coding RNA, 190 nt
Filed under: Lacticaseibacillus paracasei
Lineage: Bacteria; Bacillati; Bacillota; Bacilli; Lactobacillales; Lactobacillaceae
Description: Lactobacillus paracasei T-box
Source: RNAcentral